This 640-nucleotide transfer RNA is filed under the name uncultured Gammaproteobacteria bacterium. RNAcentral describes it as "partial 16S-23S ribosomal RNA intergenic spacer". The stretch from base 122 to 195 matches the Rfam family "tRNA". The record is from RNAcentral. Lineage: Bacteria; Pseudomonadati; Pseudomonadota; Gammaproteobacteria.
CCUCCUUUCUGGAAAUAUGCAAUCAAAUUCUUACGCCCAUUCUUAUCGGCUGUUGUCUUAAGCAACAGCAUUGGUCAUCAAUCUAAUUGGUGCUGCCUUCAGGUUCUUUAGUGAAUUCAGAGGGUCUGUAGCUCAGCUGGUUAGAGCACCGUCUUGAUAAGGCGGGGGUCGUUGGUUCGAGUCCAACCAGACCCACCAAAUCAGGUUUGAAGCGGUAUUGAAUCCUGGGGGAUUAGCUCAGCUGGGAGAGCACCUGCUUUGCAAGCAGGGGGUCGUCGGUUCGAUCCCGUCAUCCUCCACCAAAAACUUAUCUAGCGUACUUGGUUAAUGCAAAGCAUCUUCUUUGAGGAUGUUUUGUGUUAAUUGAUUCAUUUCAAUUAUUGGCUGUUCUUUAAAAAUUCAUAGAGUUAAAUCAGCGUUGCUAGCGGAAACUGCACAUUCGUAAAGGUUUAGUGCAAACCGUGCCGCUAGCGACAUUUAAUAAGAUUUUUGAUUGCGUCAAAAUGGGACUUCAAACUUCACGUUUUGAAAAUUACCGGCAUAACGCGGUUUUGGGUGAAAAGACCAAAAACACAUUUCCUUUGAAGAUCGUCUUUUGAAAAAAUCAAAGUUAUAGGGUCAAGUUGAAAUAAAAAACAAC